UACAGAGGUCCCGAGCGUUGUUCGGAUUCACUGGGCGUAAAGGGUGCGUAGGUGGUGAGGUAAGUCGGAUGUGAAAGCUCCAAGCUCAACUUGGAAAUGGCAUUGGAAACUACCUUGCUAGAGGGUUUGAGGGGGGACUGGAAUACUUGGUGUAGCAGUGAAAUGCGUAGAUAUCGGGAGGAACACCAGUGGCGAAGGCGACUACCUGGCCUGUUCUUGACGCUGAGGCGCGAAAGCUAGGGGAGCAAACGGG
RNAcentral lists this ribosomal RNA (253 nucleotides) under uncultured bacterium. RNAcentral describes it as "partial 16S ribosomal RNA". It matches the Rfam family "Bacterial small subunit ribosomal RNA", at positions 524 to 776 of the family's 1533-position model. The record is from RNAcentral.